Molecule: ribosomal RNA, 388 nt
Filed under: uncultured bacterium
Lineage: Bacteria
Description: bacterial SSU rRNA
Rfam family: Bacterial small subunit ribosomal RNA
Source: RNAcentral
GGAUGAACGCUGGCGGCGCGCUUAACACAUGCAAGUCGAGCGAGAACCGGGCCUUCGGGCCUGGGGAAAGCGGCGAACGGGUGAGUAACACGUGGGCAACCCACCCUUGGUAUCCGGAUAGCCCGAGGAAACUCGGAUUAAUACGGAAUGGCCCAACAGCUCUUCGGGGCGGUUGGAAAAGGUAGCUUCGGCCUCCGACCAAGGACGGGCCCGCGGUGGAUUAGCUUGUUGGUGGGGUAAUGGCCUACCAAGGCGACGANCCAUAGCUGGUCUGAGAGGACGACCAGCCACACUGGAACUGAGACACGGUCCAGACUCCUACGGGAGGCAGCAGGUGGGGGAAUUUUGGACAAUGGGCGCAAGCCUGAUCCAGCAAUGCCGCGUGAGU